UACGUAGGGUGCGAGCGUUGUCCGGAAUUAUUGGGCGUAAAGAGCUCGUAGGCGGUCUGUCGCGUCGAAUGUGAAAACCCGGGGCUCAACUCCGGGCUUGCAUUCGAUACGGGCAGGCUAGAGUUCGGUAGGGGAGUCUGGAAUUCCUGGUGUAGCGGUGAAAUGCGCAGAUAUCAGGAGGAACACCGAUGGCGAAGGCAGCUCGCUGGGACGGUACUGACGCUGAGGCGCGAAAGCCAGGGGAGCAAACGGGG
Molecule: ribosomal RNA, 254 nt
Filed under: uncultured bacterium
Lineage: Bacteria
Description: partial 16S ribosomal RNA
Rfam family: Bacterial small subunit ribosomal RNA
Source: RNAcentral